Molecule: ribosomal RNA, 579 nt
Filed under: Rhodanobacter sp. StRD710
Lineage: Bacteria; Pseudomonadati; Pseudomonadota; Gammaproteobacteria; Lysobacterales; Rhodanobacteraceae
Description: bacterial SSU rRNA
Rfam family: Bacterial small subunit ribosomal RNA
Source: RNAcentral
AUAGGUGAGUAAUGCAUCGGGACCUACCCAGACGUGGGGGAUAACCUCGGGAAACCGGGACUAAUACCGCAUACGUCCUACGGGAGAAAGCGGGGGACCUUCGGGCCUCGCGCGGCUGGACGGACCGAUGUGCGAUUAGCUAGUUGGUAGGGUAAUGGCCUACCAAGGCGACGAUCGCUAGCUGGUCUGAGAGGAUGAUCAGCCACACUGGGACUGAGACACGGCCCAGACUCCUACGGGAGGCAGCAGUGGGGAAUAUUGGACAAUGGGCGCAAGCCUGAUCCAGCAAUGCCGCGUGUGUGAAGAAGGCCUUCGGGUUGUAAAGCACUUUUAUCAGGAACGAAAUACCACGGGUUAAUAACCUAUGGGGCUGACGGUACCUGAGGAAUAAGCACCGGCUAACUUCGUGCCAGCAGCCGCGGUAAUACGAAGGGUGCAAGCGUUAAUCGGAAUUACUGGGCGUAAAGGGUGCGUAGGCGGUUCGUUAAGUCUGUCGUGAAAUCCCCGGGCUCAACCUGGGAAUGGCGAUGGAUACUGGCGAGCUAGAGUGUGUCAGAGGAUGGUGGAAUUCCCGGUGUA